CCAACAGGGAUUGCCCCAGUAACGGCGAGUGAAGCGGCAACAGCUCAAAUUUGAAAUCUGGCCCCAGGCCCGAGUUGUAAUUUGCAGAGGAUGCUUCGGGCGCGACGCCUUCCAAGUCCCCUGGAACGGGGCGCCUUAGAGGGUGAGAGCCCCGUACGGUUGGACGUCAAGCCUGUGUGAAGCUCCUUCGACGAGUCGAGUAGUUUGGGAAUGCUGCUCAAAAUGGGAGGUAGACCCCUUCUAAAGCUAAAUACCGGCCAGAGACCGAUAGCGCACAAGUAGAGUGAUCGAAAGAUGAAAAGCACUUUGAAAAGAGGGUUAAACAGCACGUGAAAUUGUUGAAAGGGAAGCGCUCGUGACCAGACUUGCGCCGGGGCGAUCAUCUGGCGUUCUCGCCGGUGCACUCGCCCCGGCUCAGGCCAGCGUCGGUUCGGGAGGGGGGACAAAGGCGUCGGGGAUGUGGCUCCCUCGGGAGUGUUAUAGCCCGGCGUGCAAUGCCCCCGCCCGGACCGAGGUUCGCGCUCUGCAAGGACGCUGGCGUAAUGGUCACCAGCGGCCCGUCUUGAAACACGGACCAAGGAGUCGAGGUUCUGCGCGAGUGUUUGGGUGUCAAACCCGCACGCGUAAUGAAAGUGAACGUAGGUGGGAGCCUCGGCGCACCACCGACCGAUCCUGAUGUUCUCGGAUGGAUUUGAGUAGGAGCGUAGGGCCUCGGACCCGAAAGAUGGUGAACUAUGCUUGGAUAGGGUGAAGCCAGAGGAAACUCUGGUGGAGGCUCGCAGCGGUUCUGACGUGCAAAUCGAUCGUCAAAUCUGAGCAUGGGGGGCGAAAGACUAAUCGAACCAU
Molecule: ribosomal RNA, 846 nt
Filed under: Dictyochaeta fuegiana
Lineage: Eukaryota; Fungi; Ascomycota; Sordariomycetes; Chaetosphaeriales; Chaetosphaeriaceae
Also listed under: 1 other name
Description: partial large subunit ribosomal RNA
Rfam family: Eukaryotic large subunit ribosomal RNA
Source: RNAcentral